Molecule: non-coding RNA, 85 nt
Organism: Daphnia pulex (common water flea)
Lineage: Eukaryota; Metazoa; Arthropoda; Branchiopoda; Diplostraca; Daphniidae
Source: Rfam
GACCGUGUGGCCUAAUGGAUAAGGCGUCGGACUUCUAACUGAAGUUGUCAUCCGAAAAUUGCGGGUUCGAGUCCCGCCUCGGUUA